GUCUAUGGCCAUACCACCCUGAACACACCCGAUUGCAUCUGAUCUCAGAAGCUAAGCAGGGUCAGGCCUGGUUAGUACUUGGAUGAGAGACCUUACUAGCCAAGAAACCGAUUCUUUUAGGCA
This is a ribosomal RNA of Bison bison bison, 123 nucleotides long. NCBI's taxonomy places the organism in Eukaryota, Metazoa, Chordata, Mammalia, Artiodactyla, Bovidae. The record is from Ensembl.